Molecule: ribosomal RNA, 1867 nt
Filed under: Triticum aestivum (bread wheat)
Lineage: Eukaryota; Viridiplantae; Streptophyta; Magnoliopsida; Poales; Poaceae
Description: partial small subunit ribosomal RNA
Source: RNAcentral
CCUUAUCCCAACUCGCCCCCAGUCUCUCUCAAAACGUCACUGCCAUUCCUCACUCUUCCUCCGCCUCUCCAUCUCUAUCUCUGUCUCGAUCCCCUUUCACUCUCCCAUGUGGCGGCCACCAGCGUGAUCCGGCGGUGCGGCCUGAGGCGUAGAGGCGAUGCGGCGGCGUCGUUUGCGGUGGAAGGCGGCCGUUGGUGGCGAUUGGAAGCGAGACCAGUGGCGGCGGCGACGGAUCCCGACGGAUCUCUCCGGAUCCGAUUGCGAGUGAUGGAGGCCGUGGUCUCCUGUGCGCGGCGUGCUGAUGCAUAGACGGGUGCGGGGCUGGCGGUAGGCAGCGAUGUGGCGCGGUCUCAUGCGGCGGCAGAGUUGCAGCUGCAGCCGGCACGGCUGCUCGCCGUGCUGUGGACACGGCUUGCCGGGCAGAGGGCGUCCUUCUAAGCGGUGAACCACGGCGUGACCCUUGAGAUGCUACGGCUGGUGCGCUGGUCAUGUCGUGGCUUCUGCAGGCAGCCAGCCGAGGUGAGGAGCGGGACGCCAACUCGCCAGCGACGUACAAGGGGCUACAACAGCUGCCUUGGCACCCGCAAGAGCGGGCUCCUCGACUGGGGCGUCUGCUACUUCCUGAAGCUCCUCCCGUCGUCGAUCAAAAGGCCACGGCAAGUGGUCGUCCCUUCCCGUUCACCAUUCGGGAUUUUAUGUGAAACAAGUUAGCGAGCAGCUUCCCGAAAGAGAUGGAAACCAAUGGAACCUAUGAUAUGCACAUAAAUCAAUGGAACCUAUCCAAACAUGUUGCCUUCUCAGUUGGCUGGAGCUUCAUGUGGGUUAUUUUAUUUGGACUCCUAUUUGCCGGGGUCAGAUCUUAUGCAGUGUACAAAUACAGUCUACAGGUUAUAAAACGUGCAGAAAACUGAUCACAUGCUCACCAAUACCCCAGCGAGGCAUCACUACCUGGGUUCCUAGUUCAUUGAAGAGACAAACAUCAAAGUCUGGAAGAUAUUUUAGAAACGAUGAAGUCGACGUCCAGCAAGAAGCUCAAGGAGUUUUAAUGGGCCACAUUAAAAUCUGUGAGCUCGCAGGAACAGGGCAGUAACCUUUUCAUCCCCUUGCAUACUGUUUGAGGAAAGAGUUCUUAGUAAACAGUUGAGAACUUCUGUAUAUCUCCAUAUGGCAUUGUAGAACUUAAAAGGUGAUUUACAAAGAAGUGAUUUACACCCUCUCUCUGCUAUCUAUAAAAAUUGUGACAAUGGAAGCUUGCAUUUCUCCAUAUCAAGAACGGGAGUAUAGAUUCUAAUCGCAGAGAUUUCUCUCUUUUACAGCGAGGUCAUGUUCCAUCUGAGCCUUGCUACAUACUGCGAUUCUAAUAGCAUCUUCUUCCUUAAAUCUAACAGCUCGAUUCCUCGCUCGUACAUAAGAAGGCAAUGUGCGCAUCGUUGGAGCUAUAAUGAACAGUUGGGGCUACUAUAUGAGAACAUAUGAGAAAAGUUGCGGCGCUCACCAACAAAGCCGCGGCGGCACCGGUGCCUCCUGCUCCGAUGGCAAACUUUAAAAGAAAUAGGCCUCGCCCACCCGCUCCAAUGGCAAACUGGUAGGAUCCCAAAUCGAGACCUGGAAGCAUGGAGAAACACAGCCUCGCCCGUCCCGCUCAGAAACGUCUUGAAAAUUGGUUUGUUGUUGUAUAUGGAAGGCGUGAGAUGGACAGAGUAUGAUUGGUCGCUUUAUUUUUGGGCAUUGAAGGUGUAAGAUGGAAAGAACGAAAGGAUUGAUUGGCGUUGUAUAUCUGUUUGUGAUGUACGAGCGAUUUGAUUCCUGUUGUGUAUGGAAAGUAUUAUUUGGAAAGGAUAAUAUUGUUUGGAAAGGAUGCCAUCGG